UGGGAAUUUUAUUGUUUUGCAGGUAAAAAAACAAAUAUUGGAAAUAAGGGAUUUUUGGGACUCCUUAUAAAUAAAAUGGGAUUUUGGGGCAGUCCUUUAAAAGUGUUUUGCCAAAGUCUCAGUGUUCUCUACCCCAUGCCUCUCUGGGCUGGAUCAGUAACGAGUCUCUGAGAACAUGAUUGCACUGUGUCUGCUGAUGCUGUUUAUCUCAGCGAACCUGGUCUCUUGUGCUCCUCCUCAUGUCAGCACUCCUCGAUGCUGCACUCGUCAUUAUCGCCAGAAGAUUCCAGUGCGGAGGGUUGUGUCAUACUGGACCACUAGCAGCAGCUGCCACAUCUACGCUUAUGUGUUUAAAACAAAAGCCGGGAAGGAGAGAUGUGUCAACCCAGAUCUGCCUUGGGUAACGAGGAUUGUUAAAAAACUGAACGAACGGAUGCAGGCUUCAAUCAACAAACACCGGCUGCUCUAAUGAUUGGAGAGUGUUUUUUCUGUCCAUCUAUGUAAUAGGGGAGCACAUUUAAUGCCUGGGAAUACCGAUGCUACCUUGCACGUGGCAUGUAAAUAAGUGUAGGCUAAUUUUAAAUUGGAACAUGUCAAGAUGUACCUCGCCCAGUGUUGGGAAGUAUACUGAAUACAUGUAACUGGAUUACAUAUUUAAAAUACAAAAUAUGAUAUCUGCAUUGAAAUAUGGUGGUAUUCAGAUCAGAAUACUGUAACGAAUUUAAGGGAAUGCAUUCUAAAUCGUUGUAACAUGUGAGCCACGUUUUGGUUUUUUUUCAAACUCAAAUAUUCAUCUUUUCUUUUAACCAUCAUGUAGCCAAACCAUGUAUCACUCGGAUGACUCCUUUCUCUUCAUCUUUGUUUACUGAUAGUCCAAAUGAACAAUCUUUGAGGGAAUGUAUGUAAAUGUUACAGGGCAGUGGCAGCGUAGCUGGUUAAGGAGCUGGGCUAGCACACUGUAGUGUGAGAAGUUCUAGGUUCAAUUCCUGUCUUCCACCUCUGUGUCUUGAUUGAACAAGGCACUGAGACCCAAGUUGCUCCACGGGCAAUGUACCUGUCAUAAUAUAUACACAUGACAUAUUAUGUAAGUCACUUUGUAUGAAUGUAAAUGUUAUCUGUAGUAGAAUAUUUUUUUUAAAGUAACCUACCCAACACUGCGCUGAACUAUCCAAUUUAAAUGUAAGAUAAAACUGUGAAAAUGUAUAUACUUAUUAAGUAAAAUUAACACUUAUUUAAAAAAAUAAAAUAAAAUCACACUUGUUGUCAUUACCGCAGCAAGAUGUCAUUAGCAGCAA
Molecule: long non-coding RNA, 1295 nt
Organism: Sardina pilchardus (European sardine)
Lineage: Eukaryota; Metazoa; Chordata; Actinopteri; Clupeiformes; Clupeidae
Exons: 3
Source: RefSeq, a predicted model, not a curated record